Molecule: non-coding RNA, 237 nt
Organism: Pelobates cultripes (western spadefoot toad)
Lineage: Eukaryota; Metazoa; Chordata; Amphibia; Anura; Pelobatidae
Source: the annotation of a GenBank genome assembly
AGCAAAAAGCCUGAUGGUAAUGAUUCUACUCACCAGAACAAAUUCAAUAAGCUGUAGUUGUUCUGGUGACUAUAGUGUCCACACAAGUUUUGUUCCCAUACAUCCCUCUUAAGUUUCCAUACUUAAGUAAGAGUAUGUGAAAAGUAGUUAGGGUUGCCACCUUUCUUGGAAAAACAUAUUGGCCUUACUAAUUUGCAUAAUUAAAUAUGUGUGGGUGACAUCACAUGAUGUAAAUCA